Molecule: transfer RNA, 78 nt
Filed under: Streptomyces sp. 6-11-2
Lineage: Bacteria; Bacillati; Actinomycetota; Actinomycetes; Kitasatosporales; Streptomycetaceae
Description: tRNA-Thr
Source: RNAcentral
UGCGGGCGUGGGCCAGCUGGACCAUGCCCUCCGCCUUGUCGGCGGAGACGGUCGCGUCGGUCUUCGCGACGUCCGCGC